AUUGAACGCUGGCGGCAGGCCUAACACAUGCAAGUCGAGCGAGCGGCGGACGGGUGAGUAAUGUAUGGGGACUGCCCGAUAGAGGGGGAUAACUACUGGAAACGGUAGCUAAUACCGCAUACUAUCGGAUAACCCAUAUGGGAUGAGCUAGUAGGUGAGGUAAUGGCUCACCUAGGCGACGAUCCCUAGCUGGUCUGAGAGGAUGAUCAGCCACACUGGGACUGAGAACGGGCCCCGACUCCUACGGAGGCAGCGUUGGGGAAUAUUGCACAAUGGGCGCAAGCCUGAUGCAGCAAUGCCGCGUGUAUGAGGAAGGCCCUAGGGUUGUAAAGUACUUUCAGUCGGGAGGCGUUACCGACAGAAGAAGCACCGGCUAACUCCGUGCCAGCCGCCGCGGUAAUAC
Molecule: ribosomal RNA, 403 nt
Filed under: uncultured bacterium
Lineage: Bacteria
Description: partial 16S ribosomal RNA
Rfam family: Bacterial small subunit ribosomal RNA
Source: RNAcentral